RNAcentral lists this ribosomal RNA (253 nucleotides) under uncultured bacterium. Its description in RNAcentral is "partial 16S ribosomal RNA". It matches the Rfam family "Bacterial small subunit ribosomal RNA", at positions 524 to 776 of the family's 1533-position model. The record is from RNAcentral.
UACGUAGGGCGCAAGCGUUGUCCGGAAUUAUUGGGCGUAAAGAGCUCGUAGGCGGCUUGUCACGUCGGGUGUGAAAGCCCGGGGCUUAACCCCGGGUCUGCAUUCGAUACGGGCUAGCUAGAGUGUGGUAGGGGAGAUUGGAAUUCCUGGUGUAGCGGUGAAAUGCGCAGAUAUCAGGAGGAACACCGGUGGCGAAGGCGGGUCUCUGGGCAAUAACUGACGCUGAGGAGCGAAAGCGUGGGGAGCGAACAGG